GACGAACGCUGGCGGCGUGCCUAAUACAUGCAAGUUGAGCGAUGAAGAUUGGUGCUUGCACCAAUUUGAAGAGCAGCGAACGGGUGAGUAACGCGUGGGGAAUCUGCCUUUGAGCGGGGGACAACAUUUGGAAACGAAUGCUAAUACCGCAUAAUAACUUUAAACAUAAGUUUUAAGUUUGAAAGAUGCAAUUGCAUCACUCAAAGAUGAUCCCGCGUUGUAUUAGCUAGUUGGUGAGGUAAAGGCUCACCAAGGCGAUGAUACAUAGCCGACCUGAGAGGGUGAUCGGCCACAUUGGGACUGAGACACGGCCCAAACUCCUACGGGAGGCAGCAGUAGGGAAUCUUCGGCAAUGGACGAAAGUCUGACCGAGCAACGCCGCGUGAGUGAAGAAGGUUUUCGGAUCGUAAAACUCUGUUGGUAGAGAAGAACGUUGGAGAGAGUGGAAAGCUCAUCAAGUGACGGUAACUACCCAGAAAGGGACGGCUAACUACGUG
Molecule: ribosomal RNA, 497 nt
Filed under: uncultured bacterium
Lineage: Bacteria
Description: partial 16S ribosomal RNA
Rfam family: Bacterial small subunit ribosomal RNA
Source: RNAcentral